GACGAACGCUGGCGGCGUGCCUAACACAUGCAAGUCGAACGGAGCUUAAGUGGAAGCUUGCGAAAUUUAAGCUUAGUGGCGGACGGGUGAGUAACGCGUGGAUAACCUGCCCAUAAAGCCGGGAUAACGCCGGGAAACUGGUGCUAAUACCGGAUACGCUCCGAGUAACGCAUGUUACACGGAGGAAAGGCGAAAGCCGAUUAUGGAUGGGUCCGCGUCCCAUUAGCUGGUUGGCGGUGUAAAAGACCACCAAGGCGACGAUGGGUAGCCGGCCUGAGAGGGCGAACGGCCACACUGGGACUGAGACACGGCCCAGACUCCUACGGGAGGCAGCAGUGGGGAAUCUUCCGCAAUGGGCGAAAGCCUGACGGAGCAACGCCGCGUGAGUGACGAAGGCCUUCGGGUCGUAAAACUCUGUCUUUGGGGACGAUAAUGACGGUACCCAAGGAGGAAGCCACGGCUAACUACGUGCCAGCAGCCGCGGUAAUACGUAGGUGGCGAGCGUUGUCCGGAUUUACUGGGCGUAAAGGGUGCGUAGGCGGAUGAUUAAGUCAGAUGUGAAAUACCAGGGCUCAACCCUGGGGCUGCAUUUGAUACUGGUUAUCUAGAGUGCAGGAAAGGAGAGCGGUAUUUCCUAGUGUAGCGGUGAAAU
RNAcentral lists this ribosomal RNA (652 nucleotides) under uncultured bacterium. RNAcentral's name for it is "bacterial SSU rRNA". It matches the Rfam family "Bacterial small subunit ribosomal RNA", at positions 28 to 687 of the family's 1533-position model. The record is from RNAcentral.